This 276-nucleotide unclassified non-coding RNA is filed under the name uncultured fungus. Its description in RNAcentral is "sequence contains ITS1". Lineage: Eukaryota; Fungi. The record is from RNAcentral.
GUAUAGGUUUAUAGGCACAAAGGCCCAUUAAUUACAUUCUAUAACAUACAUUGGGGUAUAUGAAGAAAACAUAGACCUGGAAAUGUAAGGAGAGACAAGGAUAGUCAGUCCUCAAACCUGAACACCAAAAGGCAUUCAGAAAGCUACCCAGGUCUACAAAGUGUGCACAGGUGGAGAUAUAAAGAUGACGGGCGUGCACAUGUCCCCAUAGAGAACCAGCAACAACCCAUCAGGUUUAUUUCAAUAAUGAUCCUUCCGCAGGUUCACCUACGGAAA